Molecule: ribosomal RNA, 454 nt
Filed under: uncultured Pelotomaculum sp.
Lineage: Bacteria; Bacillati; Bacillota; Clostridia; Eubacteriales; Desulfotomaculaceae
Description: bacterial SSU rRNA
Rfam family: Bacterial small subunit ribosomal RNA
Source: RNAcentral
CGGUGGAGCAUGUGGUUUAAUUCGACGCAACGCGAAGAACCUUACCAGGGCUUGACAUCCCCUGACCGCGUAUGAAAGUACGUUUUCACCCUCGGGUGACAGGGAGACAGGUGGUGCAUGGUUGUCGUCAGCUCGUGUCGUGAGAUGUUGGGUUAAGUCCCGCAACGAGCGCAACCCCUACGUUUAGUUGCUAACGCGUGAAGGCGAGCACUCUAGACGAACUGCCGUUGACAAAACGGAGGAAGUGGGGAUGACGUCAAAUCAUCAUGCCCCUUAUGUUCUGGGCUACACACGUGCUACAAUGGCCGGUACAGACGGAGGCGAAGCCGCGAGGCGGAGCAAAUCCGAAAAAGCCGGUCUCAGUUCGGAUUGCAGGCUGCAAUUCGCCUGCAUGAAGUCGGAAUCGCUAGUAAUCGCAGGUCAGCAUACUGCGGUGAAUACGUUCCCGGGCCUU